GCGAUUCCAGCUUCAUGCACUCGAGUUGCAGAGUGCAAUCCGGACUACGAUCGGUUUUCUGGGAUUAGCUCCCCCUCGCGGGUUGGCAACCCUCUGUUCCGACCAUUGUAUGACGUGUGAAGCCCUACCCAUAAGGGCCAUGAGGACUUGACGUCAUCCCCACCUUCCUCCGGUUUGUCACCGGCAGUCUCCUUAGAGUGCUCUUGCGUAGCAACUAAGGACAAGGGUUGCGCUCGUUGCGGGACUUAACCCAACAUCUCACGACACGAGCUGACGACAGCCAUGCAGCACCUGUGUAUCGGUUCUCUUUCGAGCACUCCCACCUCUCAGCAGGAUUCCGACCAUGUCAAGGGUAGGUAAGGUUUUUCGCGUUGCAUCGAAUUAAUCCACAUCAUCCACCGCUUGUGCGGGUCCCCGUCAAUUCCUUUGAGUUUUAAUCUUGCGACCGUACUCCCCAGGCGGUCAACUUCACGCGUUAGCUACGUUACUAAGGAAAUGAAUCCCCAACAACUAGUUGACAUCGUUUAGGGC
RNAcentral lists this ribosomal RNA (531 nucleotides) under uncultured bacterium. RNAcentral describes it as "partial 16S ribosomal RNA". The record is from RNAcentral.